ACGACGGAGCACGUGAAAUUCCGUCGGAAUCUGGGAGGACCAUCUCCUAAGGCUAAAUACUCUCUAGUGACCGAUAGUGAACCAGUACCGUGAGGGAAAGGUGAAAAGCACCCCGGAAGGGGAGUGAAAUAGAACCUGAAACCGUGUGCUUACAAGUAGUCAGAGCCCGUUAAUGGGUGAUGGCGUGCCUUUUGUAGAAUGAACCGGCGAGUUACGAUUUGAUGCAAGGUUAAGCAGUAAAUGUGGAGCCGUAGCGAAAGCGAGUCUGAAUAGGGCGUUUAGUAUUUGGUCGUAGACCCGAAACCAGGUGAUCUACCCUUGGUCAGGUUGAAGUUCAGGUAACACUGAAUGGAGGACCGAACCGACUUACGUUGAAAAGUGAGCGGAUGAACUGAGGGUAGCGGAGAAAUUCCAAUCGAACCUGGAGAUAGCUGGUUCUCUCCGAAAUAGCUUUAGGGCUAGCCUCAAGUGAUGAUUAUUGGAGGUAGAGCACUGUUUGGACGAGGGGCCCCUCUCGGGUUACCGAAUUCAGACAAACUCCGAAUGCCAAUUAAUUUAACUUGGGAGUCAGAACAUGGGUGAUAAGGUCCGUGUUCGAAAGGGAAACAGCCCAGACCACCAGCUAAGGUCCCAAAAUAUAUGUUAAGUGGAAAAGGAUGUGGCGUUGCCCAGACAACUAGGAUGUUGGCUUAGAAGCAGCCAUCAUUUAAAGAGUGCGUAAUAGCUCACUAGUCGAGUGACACUGCGCCGA
Molecule: ribosomal RNA, 751 nt
Filed under: Staphylococcus aureus
Lineage: Bacteria; Bacillati; Bacillota; Bacilli; Caryophanales; Staphylococcaceae
Description: partial 23S ribosomal RNA
Rfam family: Bacterial large subunit ribosomal RNA
Source: RNAcentral